Molecule: long non-coding RNA, 145 nt
Organism: Phyllostomus discolor (pale spear-nosed bat)
Lineage: Eukaryota; Metazoa; Chordata; Mammalia; Chiroptera; Phyllostomidae
Exons: 3
Source: RefSeq, a predicted model, not a curated record
UGGCUCAGUGGAUUGAGUGCCAGGCUUCAAACCAAAGAGUAGCUAGUUCAAUUCCCAGUCAGGGCACAUGCCUGGGCUGCAAGUCAGGUCCCCAGUGGGGGCCACGUGAGAGGCAACCACACACUGAUGUUUCUCUCCCUCCUUC